Molecule: ribosomal RNA, 459 nt
Filed under: uncultured bacterium
Lineage: Bacteria
Description: partial 16S ribosomal RNA
Rfam family: Bacterial small subunit ribosomal RNA
Source: RNAcentral
CCUACGGGAGGCAGCAGUGAGGAAUAUUGGUCAAUGGGCGGGAGCCUGAACCAGCCAAGCCGCGUGAGGGAAGAAGGUACAGCGUAUCGUAAACCUCUUUUGUCAGGGAACAAAGGCGGGGACUAGUCCCCGGAUGAGGGUACCUGAAGAAAAAGCAUCGGCUAACUCCGUGCCAGCAGCCGCGGUAAUACGGAGGCUGCGAGCGUUAUCCGGAUUUAUGGGGUUUAAAGGGUGCGCAGGCGGCCUGUUAAGUCAGCGGUAAAAGCCCGGGGCUCAACCCCGGCGAGCCGUUGAAACUGGCGGGCUGGAGUUGGAGAGAAGUACGCGGAAUGCGCGGUGUAGCGGUGAAAUGCUUAGAUAUCGCGCAGAACCCCGAUUGCGAAGGCAGCGUACCGGCUCCACACUGACGCUGAGGCACGAAAGCGUGGGUAUCGAACAGGAUUAGAUACCCCUGUAGUC